This 254-nucleotide ribosomal RNA is filed under the name uncultured bacterium. Its description in RNAcentral is "partial 16S ribosomal RNA". It matches the Rfam family "Bacterial small subunit ribosomal RNA", at positions 524 to 776 of the family's 1533-position model. The record is from RNAcentral.
UACGUAGGGUGCGAGCGUUGUCCGGAAUUAUUGGGCGUAAAGAGCUCGUAGGCGGUGUGUCACGUCGGCCGUGAAAACCUGCAGCUUAACUGUGGGCGUGCGGUCGAUACGGGCAUCACUGGAGUUCGGCAGGGGAGACUGGAAUUCCUGGUGUAGCGGUGAAAUGCGCAGAUAUCAGGAAGAACACCCGUGGCGAAAGCGGCUCUCUGGAACGGUACUGACGCUGAGACGCGAAAGCGUGGGGAGCGAACAGG